This 756-nucleotide ribosomal RNA is filed under the name uncultured bacterium. RNAcentral's name for it is "bacterial SSU rRNA". It matches the Rfam family "Bacterial small subunit ribosomal RNA", at positions 8 to 796 of the family's 1533-position model. The record is from RNAcentral.
AGAGUUUGAUCAUGGCUCAGGAUAAACGCUGGCGGCGUGCCUAACACAUGCAAGUCGAACGCACUGAGAGAUCAGUGAGUGGCGGACGGGUGAGUAACACGUGGGGACCUACCCUAGGGUGAGGAAUACCGGCGAGAAAUCGUCGACAAGACCGCAUAGGCUCGGCUCAAGCCGAGCAAAGCCCCGCAAGGGGUGCCCGGGGAUGGACCUGCGGCCGAUUAGCUGGUUGGUGAGGUAAGAGCCCACCAAGGCGACGAUCGGUAGCUGGUCUGAGAGGAUGAUCAGCCACACUGGGAUUGAGAACGGCCCAGACUCCUACGGGAGGCAGCAGUGAGGAAUUUUCGGCAAUGGGGGCAACCCUGACCGAGCAACGCCGCGUGCAGGAGGAAGGUCUUCGGAUCGUAAACUGCUUUUCUCGGGGAAGAGGAUGGACGGUACCCGAGGAAGAAGCCCCGGCUGACUACGUGCCAGCAGCCGCGGUAAUACGUAGGGGGCGAGCGUUGUCCGGAGUGACUGGGCGUAAAGCGCCCGCAGGCGGUCCGUGGCGUUUGAGGUAACAGCUCCUGGCUUCACUGGGAGAGCGUCUCAAAAACGGGCGGACUUGAGGGCCAGAGAGGGACACGGAAUUCCGGGUGUAGUGGUGAAAUGCGUAGAUAUCCGGAGGAACGCCGAAGGCGAAGGCAGUGUCCUGGCUGGCACCUGACGCUGAGGGGCGAAAGCUAGGGGAGCGAACGGGAUUAGAUACCCCAGUAGUCC